UUUAGGUCGGGACCGGGGUACGGAGACGAACGCGUGGAAAACCUGCCGUAUACUGGGGGAUAACACUUAGAAAUAGGUGCUAAUACCGCAUAAGCGCACAGCUUCGCAUGAAGCGGUGUGAAAAACUCUGGUGGUAUACGAUGGUUCCGCGUCUGAUUAGCUAGUUGGUGGGGUAAUGGCCUACCAAGGCAACGAUCAGUAGCCGGCCUGAGAGGGUGAACGGCCACAUUGGGACUGAGACACGGCCCAAACUCCUACGGAAGGCAGCAG
This 270-nucleotide ribosomal RNA is filed under the name uncultured bacterium. Its description in RNAcentral is "partial 16S ribosomal RNA". It matches the Rfam family "Bacterial small subunit ribosomal RNA", at positions 83 to 354 of the family's 1533-position model. The record is from RNAcentral.